This is a long non-coding RNA of Canis lupus familiaris (dog), 1692 nucleotides long. RefSeq lists it as uncharacterized. The transcript has 3 exons. The record is from RefSeq and is a predicted model, not a curated record. Lineage: Eukaryota; Metazoa; Chordata; Mammalia; Carnivora; Canidae.
UUUGUUAAAUUUAACAACAUUAUGUACACAGCAGUAUGACCUCCAGCUCAGUCUCAGGCCUCUGGGACUGAUGAGAAAAGGCUCUCAUCUCAUUUCUGCCACUGAACAGCUGAAUGUCACUGGAUAAGUCACUUGUCAUCUGAGGCCUAGUUGGAGAUGAUUCACAUACAGUACUUAACUUGGCACCUAUCUCCCAGUAAGUAGCUGCUCCAUGAAUGGGAUCGAGUAGCAAAGUCAGAUGCAAAUACUGCUUCAUAGAUUAAAGAUGACUCACUUAUCCUUAUCACCUCUGAGCCUUCUAACAGUCUCUAUAAGACAAUUGAUGAAAGUGUUAUAUUUACUUUACAGAUGGGGAAAGUGAAUCCCAGAAAGGUAACCAAGCAGGGUAGAAGGUAUAAGUGCCGUGUGAGUGACCCAGAGAAGGAAAGGGUCUGGUUUCUCACCCUAGCUCUGCUCCUGACCCCCUGGAUACACUCCUCUCCAGGAUCACUUUUCACACAUGGCAGUGGGCUGGGCCCAGGAAAUAUGCUAUCCAGGAGUCUAGAGCUUGAGUGACAAAACCAGGAUGAAGACAUUGCCUUUCCCCUUCAGCAUCCUGGCUAGUCCUUUGCUUAGAAUGAAGUCCUAAGUUCCUAGGGUCUCCAAGGCAGAUCAAGUUGACUACUUAGGGGGUGGUGGAAUACUUGUCCCCAUCUUCUGACUCUUUCAUUCCAAAUAGUGUGCAAAGAGCUCAAAGAGACAAGAAACAAGGGCUCUGGCCCCACUUUAGCUGCUGACUCACUCGAGGAUGCUCUUCUUUCUAUGCCUUAGUUUCCUCAUCUCUAAAAUGGGUAUUUGAUUUAAAAAAUAGUCAGGAAAUUACUUUGAAAACAUCAAAAAUGCUAUUGUAAAUGGCUAUUGGAUUCUGAAUAGCAAUAUGGACCCAAUAUUGGAACCCUCACAUUGGCCUUUCUGCAGCAGUAGCUGCGUAUCCAUCUGUUUCCUCAGAUCCUGACUGAGGCGGUAAAGACGUAGGAGGAAGACGUGGGUAGAAGGAAGAAAAGCAAAUAAGACCUACCUUCUGCUUCUGAAGACCUUAAAUAAGUUUUUCAAAGGGUGGAGAAUACAGAAUUGUGCCCACUUCGUCUCAGUACUUGUGAGAUGUUGAACUUGGAGGUUUCUUGCUCCCUGGGCCCACUGGAGGGAUGAGCUGCCAAUUUGGAAUUGCUAGCCUACAGCCCUAAGAAACUUAGUAUUUGGAGAAAAGAGUCCAGAGGCAAAGUGAGGGAAAGCUGGUCACAUCUGCCUACUGUCCUAAAGCUUGCAGCUGUAUGACUGACUCAUUCUGCAUCCCAUGGAGCUGAGGACUAGUGCUUAUUAGCAAUCUCUCAGCAGGAACAGAAGACUGUUUGUCUCUUGUGCUACUGUGUCUAAAAAGAUGGGGAAAGACAGGAAACUAUAAGCAUUUUCUGAUGCUGAGUAAAUGGAUGAACAGAAGACUAACAUCCAGAGUAUCGUGAACAUAAAACCACAUUCACUAAGGCCAGUAGGAAGACAUGGGAUACCCUCUUACCAAAGUCCCUGCAUCUAGCACAGUUGCCAUGUGAUCAAGAAGAGACUCCCUAAGAUCCAGAUUCUUCCAAGGGAAGGAGGAGAUAUUUAAAUCAAGACCAGAGAGAUUGGGGAUCCCUGGGUGGCUCAGCGGUUUAGCGC